Molecule: ribosomal RNA, 301 nt
Filed under: uncultured bacterium
Lineage: Bacteria
Description: partial 16S ribosomal RNA
Rfam family: Bacterial small subunit ribosomal RNA
Source: RNAcentral
CAGUAGCCACGGUAAUACGAAGGGUGCAAGCGUUAAUCGGAAUUACUGGGCGUAAAGCGCGCGUAGGUGGUUCAUUAAGUUGGAUGUGAAAUCCCCGGGCUCAACCUGGGAACUGCAUCCAAAACUGGCGAGCUAGAGUAUGGUAGAGGGUGGUGGAAUUUCCUGUGUAGCGGUGAAAUGCGUAGAUAUAGGAAGGAACAUCAGUGGCGAAGGCGACCACCUGGACUGAUACUGACACUGAGGUGCGAUAGCGUGGGGAGCAAACAGGAUUAGAUACCCCCGUAGUCCCUGUCUCUUAUAC